GGUUGUAGCUCAGGGAUAGAGCACUUGCCUUGCAUGUUUUAGACCCUGGGUUCAAUCCUCAGCACCA
RNAcentral lists this transfer RNA (67 nucleotides) under Marmota monax (woodchuck). RNAcentral describes it as "tRNA.Ala". The record is from RNAcentral. Lineage: Eukaryota; Metazoa; Chordata; Mammalia; Rodentia; Sciuridae.